Molecule: ribosomal RNA, 913 nt
Filed under: uncultured Corynebacterium sp.
Lineage: Bacteria; Bacillati; Actinomycetota; Actinomycetes; Mycobacteriales; Corynebacteriaceae
Description: bacterial SSU rRNA
Rfam family: Bacterial small subunit ribosomal RNA
Source: RNAcentral
UCGUUUGUGUAAGCCCGCAGCUUAAACUGCGGGACUGCAGGCGAUACGGGCAUAACUUGAGUGCUGUAGGGGAGACUGGAAUUCCUGGUGUAGCGGUGGAAUGCGCAGAUAUCAGGAGGAACACCGAUGGCGAAGGCAGGUCUCUGGGCAGUAACUGACGCUGAGGAGCGAAAGCAUGGGGGAGCGAACAGGAUUAGAUACCCUGGUAGUCCAUGCCGUAAACGGUGGGCGCUAGGUGUGAGUCCCUUCCACGGGGUUCGUGCCGUAGCUAACGCAUUAAGCGCCCCGCCUGGGGAGUACGGCCGCAAGGCUAAAACUCAAAGGAAUUGACGGGGGCCCGCACAAGCGGCGGAGCAUGUGGAUUAAUUCGAUGCAACGCGAAGAACCUUACCUGGGCUUGACAUACACCAGAUCGGGCCAGAGAUGGUCUUUCCCUUUGUGGUUGGUGUACAGGUGGUGCAUGGUUGUCGUCAGCUCGUGUCGUGAGAUGUUGGGUUAAGUCCCGCAACGAGCGCAACCCUUGUCUUAUGUUGCCAGCACGUUGUGGUGGGGACUCGUGAGAGACUGCCGGGGUUAACUCGGAGGAAGGUGAGGAUGACGUCAAAUCAUCAUGCCCCUUAUGUCCAGGGCUUCACACAUGCUACAAUGGUCGGUACAACGCGUCGUGCGAGCCUGUGAGGGUGAGCUAAUCGCUGUAAAGCCGGUCGUAGUUCGGAUUGGGGUCUGCAACUCGACCCCAUGAAGUCGGAGUCGCUAGUAAUCGCAGAUCAGCAACGCUGCGGUGAAUACGUUCCCGGGCCUUGUACACACCGCCCGUCACGUCAUGAAAGUUGGUAACACCCGAAGCCAGUGGCCUGUCAAAAGAGCUGUCGAAGGUGGGACGGCGAUGGGAGAAGUCGUAACAGGUAGCCGU